GGAAGAUCUGCAGCCAGCCCUGAAGCUGCAGCAGGAGGGCUCUGAAUCCUGUGGUGCCCUAAGCAGUGGUUAGAGAAUUGAGAAGGCUGGGGAAGUGCAGGAAUCCAAAUCACAAUGUCUAGAGAGAACCUCCCAGUGACUUUGUCUGGCUGGAGGAUUAAAGAGCCAUAGUCUGAAAAGCACAGGAGUAAGUUAGAAGACAGACAGAACAGAAUUCAUACCGUCUUGCUCUAUGAAUCAACAUGAACUGUCAAGAAAUAGUGAAAUCACU
This 271-nucleotide long non-coding RNA is filed under the name Homo sapiens (human). RNAcentral describes it as "HSALNT0362462". Lineage: Eukaryota; Metazoa; Chordata; Mammalia; Primates; Hominidae. The record is from RNAcentral.